AUUAGAUACCCUGGUAGUCCACGCCGUAAACGGUGGGUGCUAGUUGUGGGCCACAUUCCACGUGGUCCGUGACGAAGUUAACACAUUAAGCACCCCGCCUGGGGAGUACGGUCGCAAGACUAAAACUCAAAGGAAUUGACGGGGGCCCGCACAAGCGGCGGAGCAUGCGGAUUAAUUCGAUGCAACGCGAAGAACCUUACCAAGGCUUGACAUAUAGAGGAAACGUGCAGAAAUGUACGCCCCGCAAGGUCUCUAUACAGGUGGUGCAUGGUUGUCGUCAGCUCGUGUCGUGAGAUGUUGGGUUAAGUCCCGCAACGAGCGCAACCCUCGUCCUAUGUUGCCAGCACGUAAUGGUGGGAACUCAUGGGAGACUGCCGGGGUCAACUCGGAGGAAGGUGGGGAUGACGUCAAAUCAUCAUGCCCCUUAUGUCUUGGGCUUCACGCA
Molecule: ribosomal RNA, 445 nt
Filed under: uncultured Actinomycetes bacterium
Lineage: Bacteria; Bacillati; Actinomycetota; Actinomycetes
Description: bacterial SSU rRNA
Rfam family: Bacterial small subunit ribosomal RNA
Source: RNAcentral